AUCCGAAGGCCCAAGGGUGGUAGUUCUUCAACCCCCGAAAAGGCCUUUCCUUUAUCACUGAUCUUCCAUCGUUCAUUCAUAAAUAGAAGAAUCAGUUUUUCUUUGCUUUUUCUUUGCUUCCUUGAGAUUUUCCUUCUCGUUGGAGCGAUCCUCGUACCAGCCCCAACGACAACAGUCGGGUAGAGGUCGACGAUCAGAAAGACUUUCACCGACUGAAAAAUAUAUCGGUGCCGAAGCAGAAAGAGC
This 246-nucleotide long non-coding RNA is filed under the name Elaeis guineensis (African oil palm). Its description in RNAcentral is "long non-coding RNA (EGUI_LNC014021)". The record is from RNAcentral. Lineage: Eukaryota; Viridiplantae; Streptophyta; Magnoliopsida; Arecales; Arecaceae.